UUUAAUUGAAGAGUUUGAUCAUGGCUCAGAUUGAACGCUGGCGGCAGGCUUAACACAUGCAAG
This 63-nucleotide ribosomal RNA is filed under the name Serratia marcescens. RNAcentral describes it as "partial 16S ribosomal RNA". The record is from RNAcentral. Lineage: Bacteria; Pseudomonadati; Pseudomonadota; Gammaproteobacteria; Enterobacterales; Yersiniaceae.